Homalodisca vitripennis (glassy-winged sharpshooter) is the source of this 639-nucleotide long non-coding RNA. RefSeq lists it as uncharacterized. The transcript is spliced from 2 exons. The record is from RefSeq and is a predicted model, not a curated record. NCBI's taxonomy places the organism in Eukaryota, Metazoa, Arthropoda, Insecta, Hemiptera, Cicadellidae.
UUACACCCUGUAUAUAAACAAUCAAAUAGUUUCAAGUACCGUAACUAAAGCGUGUGUUAACGCUCUAUACUAUCAGUAGAUGCUGACAACACUAACUACGGCUUAUUUUAAAGGGUUUCCCUGUGCCGUGUGUGGAAGAAUGUACUCACUGAAAUGCAACAUGCUGCGGCACCGACGUCUAGAGUGCGGGAAAGCUCCUCAGUUCCACUGUCAACUCUGCCCUUACAAGGGCAAACGCAAGGAACAUCUGCAAGCACAUCUGGCGUUCAAACAUAAAAUGCUGUGAUAUCCUUUUGUGUGAAAGUAUGGUGAUUCCCAAAAGGUCUGCCCGUAUACUGCUGUAAAGCGUGUGGGCGAUGGUACAAGAACAAAGAGACUCUGACGAGACACCGGCGCAUAGAGUGUGGACUGGAACCUCGGUGCUUCUGUCCUCUCUGCCCCUACAAGACCAAAGCGCAGAGACAACCUCCAGAGACACAUCGCUGUCAGGCACGCCAGAUAGCACAGUUUAGCUUGUUUGGUUGUACAACUGAAUCUCGUAUUGUUCAACUCACACCAUAUUUUAAAUUAUUUGUUAUGUUACAAAUUUAUUUUUUGACAUUUGUUAUUUACUGGUGAAUAAAACCACUUUAAAUUAAA